This 535-nucleotide ribosomal RNA is filed under the name Penicillium glabrum. RNAcentral's name for it is "eukaryotic LSU rRNA". The stretch from base 173 to 326 matches the Rfam family "5.8S ribosomal RNA". The record is from RNAcentral. Lineage: Eukaryota; Fungi; Ascomycota; Eurotiomycetes; Eurotiales; Aspergillaceae.
UGAGUGAGGGCCCUCUGGGUCCAACCUCCCACCCGUGUUUAUUGUACCUUGUUGCUUCGGUGCGCCCGCCUCACGGCCGCCGGGGGGCUUCUGCCCCCGGGUCCGCGCGCACCGGAGACACUAUUGAACUCUGUCUGAAGAUUGCAGUCUGAGCAUAAACUAAAUAAGUUAAAACUUUCAACAACGGAUCUCUUGGUUCCGGCAUCGAUGAAGAACGCAGCGAAAUGCGAUAACUAAUGUGAAUUGCAGAAUUCAGUGAAUCAUCGAGUCUUUGAACGCACAUUGCGCCCCCUGGUAUUCCGGGGGGCAUGCCUGUCCGAGCGUCAUUGCUGCCCUCAAGCACGGCUUGUGUGUUGGGCUCCGUCCCCCCGGGGACGGGUCCGAAAGGCAGCGGCGGCACCGAGUCCGGUCCUCGAGCGUAUGGGGCUUUGUCACCCGCUCUGUAGGCCCGGCCGGCGCCAGCCGACAACCAAUCAUCCUUUUUUCAGGUUGACCUCGGAUCAGGUAGGGAUACCCGCUGAACUUAAGCAUAUCA